Molecule: small nucleolar RNA, 133 nt
Organism: Cynocephalus volans (Philippine flying lemur)
Lineage: Eukaryota; Metazoa; Chordata; Mammalia; Dermoptera; Cynocephalidae
Product: small nucleolar RNA SNORA31
Exons: 1
Source: RefSeq, a predicted model, not a curated record
UCCCUCUUUUUGACAGACUUGGAGCAGUUACUGUCUGCUGCUAAGGUUUCCAAUGCAGGUGCGAGAAAAAAGUGUCUUCGUGCUUUCUGCCUUUCUGAUUGUGGUAGCAAAGAUUAAAUGGGAGAAUACAAUA